CCUACGGGUGGCAGCAGUGGGGAAUAUUGCACAAUGGGGGAAACCCUGAUGCAGCGACGCCGCGUGAGUGAAGAAGUAAUUCGUGAUGUAAAGCUCUAUCAGCAGGGAAGAAAAUGACGGUACCUGAGUAAGAAGCCCCGGCUAACUACGUGACAGCAGCCGCGGUAAUACGUAGGGGGCAAGCGUUAUCCGGAUUUACUGGGUGUAAAGGGAGCGUAGACGGCAGUGCAAGUCUGGAGUGAAAGGCGGGGGCUCACCCCCGGGACUGCUCUGGAAACUGUACGGCUGGAGUGCAGGAGAGGUAAGUGGCAUUCCUAGUUUAGCGGUGACAUGCGUAGCUAUUAGGAGGCACCCCAGUGGCGACGGCGGCUUACUGGACUGUAACUGACGUUGAGGCUC
Molecule: ribosomal RNA, 399 nt
Filed under: uncultured bacterium
Lineage: Bacteria
Description: partial 16S ribosomal RNA
Rfam family: Bacterial small subunit ribosomal RNA
Source: RNAcentral